UACGGAGGAUCCAAGCGUUAUCCGGAAUCAUUGGGUUAAAGGGUCCGUAGGCGGUUUAAUAAGUCAGUGGUGAAAGCCCAUCGCUCAACGGUGGAACGGCCAUUGAUACUGUUAAACUUGAAUUAUUAGGAAGUAACUAGAAUAUGUAGUGUAGCGGUGAAAUGCUUAGAGAUUACAUGGAAUACCAAUUGCGAAGGCAGGUUACUACUAAUGGAUUGACGCUGAUGGACGAAAGCGUGGGUAGCGAACAGG
RNAcentral lists this ribosomal RNA (252 nucleotides) under uncultured bacterium. RNAcentral's name for it is "partial 16S ribosomal RNA". It matches the Rfam family "Bacterial small subunit ribosomal RNA", at positions 524 to 776 of the family's 1533-position model. The record is from RNAcentral.